CCCUAGCCCUGAUUGAAGCAUUUGUCUGAGCUCAUUUUAUUUUUCUGGCUGCGGCGGCUUUGCCGCCGCAGCCAGAAAAAUAAAAUAGCGAGUGCGGAAAGCAGGAUAAAGC
RNAcentral lists this unclassified non-coding RNA (112 nucleotides) under Chryseobacterium taeanense. RNAcentral's name for it is "Flavo-1 RNA". Lineage: Bacteria; Pseudomonadati; Bacteroidota; Flavobacteriia; Flavobacteriales; Weeksellaceae. The record is from RNAcentral.